This is a small nucleolar RNA of Lactuca sativa (garden lettuce), 107 nucleotides long. NCBI's taxonomy places the organism in Eukaryota, Viridiplantae, Streptophyta, Magnoliopsida, Asterales, Asteraceae. The record is from RefSeq and is a predicted model, not a curated record.
AGGUCAUGUUGAGGACAAUUUCUUAAUAAACCUUUAUAGCGUUCCCAUGCCUUGUGAAGUGACUCCACUGGCUGUUGCUCAAAGUUAGAUAUCUCCUUCUUGAGUUU